CCUCCCGCUUGCCUCCCUGAGCGGGGCCUGGAUGGAUCAGGCUUACCCCGGCAGCAGCUUGCCGGGGUUUUUUAU
RNAcentral lists this non-coding RNA (75 nucleotides) under Chromobacterium sp. LK11. RNAcentral describes it as "Burkholderia RNA 7 (anti-hemB)". It matches the Rfam family "Burkholderia RNA 7 (anti-hemB)". From Rfam's summary of the family: This RNA motif was identified by computational search in b-proteobacteria Burkholderia. Co-purified with Hfq, expression confirmed by Northern blot. Putative functional homologue of SP-RydB and predicted target hemB. The record is from Rfam by way of RNAcentral. Lineage: Bacteria; Pseudomonadati; Pseudomonadota; Betaproteobacteria; Neisseriales; Chromobacteriaceae.